UACGAGAGGCCCAAACGUUAUUCGGAUUUACUGGGCUUAAAGAGUUCGUAGGCGGUCCGUCAAGUGAGGUGUGAAAGCCCUCGGCUCAACCGAGGAAUUGCGCUUCAAACUGACGGGCUCGAGGGAGAUAGGGGUGAGCGGAACUGAUGGUGGAGCGGUGAAAUGCGUUGAUAUCAUCAGGAACACCUGAGGCGAAGGCGGCUCACUGGGUCUCUUCUGACGCUGAGGAACGAAAGCUAGGGGAGCAAACGGG
Molecule: ribosomal RNA, 253 nt
Filed under: uncultured bacterium
Lineage: Bacteria
Description: partial 16S ribosomal RNA
Rfam family: Bacterial small subunit ribosomal RNA
Source: RNAcentral